Dromaius novaehollandiae (emu) is the source of this 487-nucleotide long non-coding RNA. RefSeq lists it as uncharacterized. The transcript is spliced from 3 exons. The record is from RefSeq and is a predicted model, not a curated record. NCBI's taxonomy places the organism in Eukaryota, Metazoa, Chordata, Aves, Casuariiformes, Dromaiidae.
AUCAUUUCUAGCUCUGUGAUCAGCAAAAAUGCUGCCUUCAUUCUCCUCUACCUGACAGAUCUCCAAGUCACAUAUGUGUCAGCUCACCAUUUGAUAUAGAGCAAGACCAUCCAGCAGAGAAACAAGCAGCUCUGCCAUCCUGUUACAGAGAUCUUGAAAGCAGAAAUGGUGAGACACAAGCAAAAUCGCCAGCACCAUGGCAGGAGGAGGUCCCAGCGCAGACGACGAGGCAGGAGGCAAGGAAGGAAGCAAGGCAAGAGAAGGAGAAGUGGAAGGACAGGAGGGGGCCAGCACUACCAUUACAGGAGGCGAGUGAUAUACUGAGACCCUGACUGCCUUCUCUGCCAUAUAUUACAAUGUAGAAACAAGCUCCCACAACACUUGCAUGACAAACAACUCUGCUUUCUGUGAAGAGCCUGGCAUAACGGUAGCCUGACAUAACAACUUACUGUCAAUAAACUGGGCUGGAUGCCUUUUGUCCUCUGUU